UCUGCCGGAAGUUACUCUGCUUGGCGGCUGCUUGGUCAUGCCGUCCGGAGUCAAGUACUACGGCAGCUACUGCUGCGCUGCGUGGUGCAACAACAACGGCAGGACAGGGAGAGAGCGUGGUACUAAGUGGUUCAGGAUUCCGCGAGACGACAGCCCAGUCUACCAGUCCAUUUGUGGCAUGUGAGAGCUUUGUUGACAUGAGGUCUGACCCGGAGAUCCUUCAUUCAUGACUGCAGUGAACCUUUCCCACCUUAUGGUUCACAGGGUCAAGGGGUAACCAAAGCGGCUUCCAGGAGAACAUCCAGUCUAGUCGGGGGUGACGAGAGUGAGAGUGUAAAGGAGAGCUCCUGUUCCCUGGCACUGCCUG
Long non-coding RNA from Rhipicephalus sanguineus (brown dog tick), 367 nucleotides. RefSeq lists it as uncharacterized. The transcript has 4 exons. NCBI's taxonomy places the organism in Eukaryota, Metazoa, Arthropoda, Arachnida, Ixodida, Ixodidae. The record is from RefSeq and is a predicted model, not a curated record.